RNAcentral lists this unclassified non-coding RNA (7839 nucleotides) under Leishmania donovani. RNAcentral's name for it is "gene:LdHU3.09.0940(CDS-product:ubiquitin_ligase_p utative)". The record is from RNAcentral. Lineage: Eukaryota; Euglenozoa; Kinetoplastea; Trypanosomatida; Trypanosomatidae.
UGGGUACCUCCUCCCCCCAACAACAACAACAUCAUCACAGCCACAAGCCACACAGCAUCAAGCGCAGGCAGACACGCACGCUGCAUAAGAACUACGAAAGGUAAACGUGUGCUCCAGUUGGAGAGACACAGCCGCACACACGUACACACACCAUCAUAUCGGAGGGCAGUAGGCUUCAUAGGAACGCCCACCUGCACCGGUACACCAGCGAUAUACCAACACGCACAUACAGAGCAGAGACAGACAGACAGAGAGAGAGGGUUGCGGGUGCGUUCUUGUCUGAUGCGUAUCGGCCAAGAGGUCCGUCUCACACUCUCUCUCGCUCCCAUCACACCCCCACAACAUACCACACCUCCUGGGUGUGUAUGUGUGUUGCUGUCCAACUGCGGCCUUUUACGCCAGAAGCCGCGGCCACCGCCACCCCUCUGCCUGUUCUCUCGUGAAGCCCUUCCGCCCUCACCCCCGCGCCCCCUCACGCCCGUCCGACACGUUUGUCGUCCCUCAUUCGCGGCGGGUAGAGAGGGAGUGGGCAGCCGCAGCCGCAGCGACAGCCUCUGCGGUCUUUAUUUCUUUUCCCUCGUUGAUGCCUUUCUGUUGUGUGGCUGCCUGAUUGCCCCCUCCUCCCUCCCACACACACACACACACACCGCCAAACUUGCGGCAACCUCCUCCCCCAUCUCCCCUCGCCAAGACCCUACCCAACACCGCCACCAAAACGCCAUUUCUUCGGUGUCACGUCAUGGGCUACAACCCCGACAUCCCGUCGACGUGGAGCAUCAAGCAGCUCCUUGAGUACGCGCGGCAGCGCGGAAUCGACGUACCAAGCGGGUGUGAGAAGUCGGAGCUGGUCACGAUCGUCGACGAGUACUUGACAGACGAACUGCUCGCGGAGCACAUUCGCAAAGAAAGCGCACUGGACACGGACGUCAUUGAAGACAUCGUAGGCGCUAGCACCGCGUCCAUUCUGCGGCAUGUUGCACACUCCUCCUAUACCAGCGUGCUGCGUCGCCAUCCAGAGAAACUGCAAGCGAUUAUUGAAGCCGGCAUCGAGCAGCUCCAGUCGCUUCCGUUCGUUGCACGGCUAUGCAGUGCGCGAGUGCACAGUCCUGUGCAGGCGUGGCUGGGCACCUUAGCCUCGGACUGCGGCGAUGGCAAGCGUCUGCUGACUGUCCUCACAGCGUCAAACAGCGACGGAGCAGCCUCGCCGGUGUGUGGACGCUUCUGUGGAGAGCAAGAAAUGGUGGUACGCUGCCUCGACUGUGGCGCCGACUCCACAUGCGUCAUGUGCAUGGACUGCUUCCGCCACUCUCCGUGCGUCAAUCAUCGCUACCGUAUCACGCAGAGCUCAGGCGGUGGCAUGUGCGACUGCGGCGAUCCGACCGCGUGGAAGCUGGAGUCCUUCUGCAGCCGUCAUCGUGCCGCUGCUGCAGCUGCAGCAGCGGCGGGUGACGGGAACAGUGCGUCCGACCCCCUCGACACCAUGGCGGAAGAGGAUCGGGUGUGGGCGGUGCCGGUGCUGCGAGGCAUUAUUCAGUUCACUGCUGUUACGCUUCUGCAGCACACGCGUCUGCAGGUGUUGCAGAAGCGGGCGCAGUCGCGAGCGGGAAAGCAGCGAAGGGCGACGAGCGGCGCCGGGAACAGCACUGCUAGUGGCAGCGGCACUAGCGCAGCCGGAAGUGCAGCAACGGCGCGCUUUAGCGACGCGGAGGCCGCGCUGCUGAACGAUGUGGCUCGCAUCUCGGACAAGUUCGACUGGUUAGAGGAGUGGAUGUCGGAAGUGACGCGGCAGCUGUGGGAGCUCAUGCAGGCCAGCGACAUCGCCAAACGUCUCGUGGCGCAGCUCUGGGCAGAGCCGGUGCGAAUGGCGGUGUGCGGCGGUCCAGGCGCAGUUGCCACCGCCGUGCGCGACAACGAGGAAGAAAAAAUCGUCAGGGAGACCGGCACGGCCGCCUCGAUGGCGGACCCCGUCCUCGACGCGUUACCGCCAAACUUCACCUGCGUGCACAUGGUGUUCCUUCACGAAGCAUCGCGGCCCGUGACGGCCCACGAGCAGCCUCUGAAUGCCACCAGCAGAUCCGCGCCGUGGCUCAAUAACCUCCUUCGGUGCGUCGGCCACUGCUUGAGCGACGCCAAGUUUCGCCUCCCGGUCGGCGGGCUGAUGGCGACAUAUGCCGAGUACAUCAACGCACAGGAGCGUGCUGAGGACAAGAACGAAUGCUUGUCGCAGUACCAGGUGCAGGUGCUAACAAACCCCAACGUGAUCCGCCACUUGAUGACACCUUCACACCUGCCUUACAAGGCGGCAACGAACACAGUGCUGCACAGAGAGCUGAGCGCGUUGCUCUACGCGUUAUGGCUCGCGCGUGACACCGUCAGUGGUGCCUCUGCGAACCCGGUGACGGAAACGGCGGCGCUCUCGCGCGACGGGCUCCUGUUUGUUGCCCACCAAGCUACGCCCGUCUCGCUGGCCAGCGUGACCGCGUUGCAGUCGUGUCUGAGCGGGUCCCCUGCAGCCUGCUACACACUUGUGCUGAACCGACUUGCGUGGCGCGCCUUUGCGCAGGUCGCCGGCAGCCUGGCUAUCAGCGGCUACAUCUGCAAGGACCCCGAUGCACCAACCGACUCGCAACACUACCCCACGCCGGACUUCAUUGGUCGCUGCAUCUCGCGGCACAUGUGGUUGUGGUUGCAUGCCAUGCGGGUGGUUCUGUCGUGUCUCCUGAGACUGCCUGCGACAGCAGCAACGGAUUCAUCGGCGUCGAUGCCUGCCCUGUCCCACGACGCCAUCGCGGAGGCGCUGGGGAUCACGACGGAGCUCUGGAACACGUGGCGCGGUGCCACCGCCUUCGAUACACCACCGGAUCGCCUGCGGCAGAAAGGCCCGCUGCUGGAGAUGCUGUCGGCGUGCAGGGUGGCGAAUGGGCAGGACGAAGCCCUCUUGCUGCUGGAGCACGGCCCCAUGGCGGCGGCGCAGUCACGCGUACUGGGAAAGCAACCACUGACGGAGCAGGCAGGAACGGCAGCGAACGCCAAGACAAGCAUCCUGGCGGCCCCGGCGUUGGCGACGGCGAUGGGGUACACAAUACAAGCUCUCUAUGAGAUUAGCCGGACCAUGGAUGUCGUCUUCGAAAAGCAGCGCGACGGCUUUUGCCGGCGGUGUCGCUCCAUCGUGCUGGAGCGAAAGAUCUCCACGGGUCUGCCGAAAAGCCAACAAGCAGCGAUCCAUCGUGGCACUUCACAAAACGAGGAGGCGCGCGACGCAGACGUGAGGGCAGGUGCAAGGCUCCAGGCGCCGUCGACGUGCUCGGUGGACAUUGUGGAGUACACGCUGCUGGAGCCGCACGCGCACGCCACUACCCUUUCCAACCACCUCCCUCGCCUUUUCGGGGCUGUCCUCACGGCGUGGGUCAUCGAAAGCCAACGCGCCACAUCUCGGCUGCAAAGCGCGGCGUCAUCGCCCUCGGCCGCCCCGGCGGAGGUACUCGCCACGACUCGCGUAUCUGGCCUUCCAAGGGCGAGCACGAACAGCACCGCGCCAACAGGAGAGACGUCGGGCCUCCCGGUUACCCCAGCACACGCGCGCCGCCCUCUGCGGUCUCUGCUGGACGCCUUCUUUCAGUUGCGAGCGGAGGUGACGCGCAACGAGCAGGAUCGCCUCACCUUUUCUCAGCAACUCCUCGAUUCGUUGGUCAUGCCGCAUGUGCUGACCGGCCAGGUCUUCGACGGCUUGUGGCGCCGUGGCGAUUACGAUGUUUCCUCUGCCGUCACAAUGUACCUGACAUUCUCGCGCGGGGUGUCGGCAGAAUUCGACAUCCUGAUGAUGCAGGUGCUCACGAUGGAGCUGGCACCGGCCGACAUGGCGCUGCAGAUCCUCCAGCGCUUCUCUUACGCGAAGCGACACCUGCGCGACGCGGACACAGAGCAUGCGAGCCAGGCGCCGCGGCGACGUGCCAGCACAUCGCACGGGCAGCAGCCAGCGGAGAAGCUCCCUGAGAAGCCCUUGGGCGUCCUCCCAACGAUGCUGGCAGCGCGGCGGCCGUUCUUCAGGCGCUGCCUGAACGGCUACAGGCACUUUUUGCGCCUCAUUCUCACGAUCGUGACGGACGUGUCCAAGGCGGCAUUCCAGGCCCCCAUGUCCUCGCCCGUCAUUGACCGCAUCGUCGGGGGCCUUCUCGCGCACGGCAAGGCCUCCCACUCCACCAUCGUCGCCAACGUCAACGGAACCGCCCGUGGCGGGGACUACGGCGACGCCGACGAGGACGAGAAGGACGCCAGCGGCAACGUGAUCAAGUUCUCGAGGCUGAUCGACGACGCGAUCCGGAAGCUGGCGGUCGCCGAGGACUCGGCGCAAGGGAAGCAGUUUCGACUGAAGGGCGUGGAUGUGUGGCGCGCACACGUGAGCCUGUACCACAUCGGGGUCGUUGAUAGUCAUCUCGAGGAGUUUUACAAGACGUAUCGAGGCCUCGCCAGCGCAGCGGAUGCGGCGAAGCCGCAAGAGGCAGAGUCGCAUGCGCUCGCUGAUGGCAACAAGGGCGACGAUGCCACGGGCGGUGGCGGGCAGCAGCAGAAACGCAUCUCUCUGCCACCCACACAGCUGUCCGACACGAGCAUGUACGCAGAGCUGGUACCCACCACCCGGGCGUUGCUGCACACGGAUGCCGUCCUGUUGCCGGCGCUCUACGUGCUGCACGUGUACGCCAGCUGCCACGUGCCCGCUGGUGUCGCUGCCGCCUCGGAUGUGAAGGCUGCAUUGGCGGACAAGGAGGGUACGGCUGCCUCGGCACAGGAGUCGCCGCUCUGUCGGCACGACAACGCUAUGCACGAGGGUGCCGAUGAUGGAAGGGAAAGCACCGAGAGCGGGAGCGAAGAUGACCCCCACGGUGACGGCAGGGAAGACGCCAACGUGAUCACGCGCGAGGCGUUGCUGCACGCCACCACAACCCUGUACCUGUGCGUGCAAGACUGCGUCUCCAUCACGCGGGCCAUGCGGGCUAUCGAAGGCUACAACGGCGAGAUGGCAUCCGCUACGGAGAAGGGCGUCAUCUCCUGGGACCUCCUCGAGCUGUACCUGCGUCGAUUCGCCAUCAACGAGCCCUCCUUCACUCACGCCUCGUGUGUGCAGUGGCUGCCAUUGCCGGAGCUGGUGCCGUGCCAAACCUUGCUCCAGAAGCUGCAGACCCCUGUUCAACUCCACACACACACGUCAAACGGCACGCCCACCGUCACCACCACUUCCUCCUCUGCUGACAUGCUGCACCGUCUGCGUGGCUAUCUGCUCUCGAACAAGGACGCCGAUCCUUACGGGUGCCUGGAGAUGGUGGAGGCGGUACUCGUGCAGACUGGGCUGGCCACCUUUAACACAGCCGACUUGCUGGAUGAGCAGAAGACGAAGGAUGAAGCGGCGCAGAGCCGGAAGAAGGUCAUUCAGGAGCGGCAGGCCAUGUUGAUGCAGCGCAUGCGCAGUCGCGCGCUGAAGGCAUCGGAGAAGAUGAAGGCGGCCGCCACCGCGGCGCAGCAGCAAGAAGGCCAACGCGCUAGCGAAGAGGCCUCUGGCCCCGCGGCAUCGGCGUCGGAGAAGUCCCCGACGGGCGGGGUGAUUGGCUCACUUCUUGCGAAGCUGCUGCUGGAGCUGACGACGUUGGACUGCUGCGUGUGUCGCUCCUCGACGGAGGAGCCACUCUUUCUGCUCUGCCACACCGGCACCUCCGGCGUGCUGCCUCAGCUGGGCGCGCUUUCGCUGCCGGACGGCCGUCAUGUGCACAGCCACCUGAGCAUGUGCGGCCACGCCGCACACAAGUCGUGCGUGGAGAAAGUGUUUGUCCGGCUGUCAGUGCUGUGGCAGCGGUGGAACUUCCGGAGUCAGUUCUACCUCGGCCCCACGGAGUUCAACUGCCCGGUCUGCACAACCAUCAUUACGGCGCUGUGCCCGAUGCCGGUGCUCUCCGGCGGCGGCAACGGCGACUCGACGACCCCCACCUCCCGGACAACGCGAGUGCUCUCGUCGGCUGCGACCCCCUUUGCGUCUCUCUUCGAGGAACUUCAGAACGGCACCGUAUCGGCCAGCAACCAGCGCGCCGUUGACGUCGCGGCGGAGUUCCACACAACCUUGGCAAACGCCGCCGUCGGCUUCAGCCCGUCCGAAGAUGUCCCCGCGAUUGUGUCCGCCGAGGACGAGCUGCAGCAGAAGAACGAGGCUGCCUGGCAGCUGUCCGAGGCCAUCCGCGCCUUCUCUUACGCCUGCCACCUGCAGCUGGAGGCCAUCAAGGCCGGCCAAGAACUCACUCAUCGUGACCUCAUCGGGCUUCUGUCGGUGCUAGUGAGCAUCAUGCCCGCUGAACUGGAGCGGCAGCAAGCCGACCUGCGUUCCAACUACGCACGAAACAUGCAGGACAACGAGAGCUUGCUGGUCAUGGAUGCGCUGCUGCAGCCCCGCAACGCGAACAGAUUGAUCAGUGCCCACGUGCUGACACAGGUGCUGCCCUCUAUGCCGGCGAACUUUGUAGCACGGCUCCUUGCCGUUGCGUGUGCCAGCAACAAGGACGACAACGGCGAAGGGGCAUAUGCCGCCGCCGCCGCCGCGUCGCUGGAGGAGGAGUUUACGGGCGUGACGGCGGCGCUCUGGCAAACCGUGGGUGUGCUGACACUGCUCAAGGCCCUUGUCGUCGAAGAUGCCCAUCAUGGCGUCGUCCUCCGCAGCAGCACUUUCACCGUGGCGGGCGCCGUCACCUUUGCGGUGCUGAGCGUGGCCAGUGUGAGGACUCCGGUAUCCCGCUGCACCUCGAUUGUGCGCAUGCUGCAGUACCUGUUGCCAGUGCCGCACAAAAGCACGGAGGCGGAGCUGCAGGUAGUUGGCCAAGAUAUCUUGGCCUGCAUGCAGGCGGCCACCACAACAGCCACCCUCUCCUGCUCCAGACAUAGUACGGAAAUCGCGAAGUCAGUCGUGCCCUACACCACACCAGAGGAGUGGGUCGCGCGGAUCGCGGAGAAGCUGCUGCACCUGCCCUCCGUGUAUACCACCGUUCUCACACGCUUUGCAGAGCACAAGAUGUGCACCAUAUGCCACCAAGAGCCGGCAAAGCCAGUCGUGUGCUGUCGAUGCGGGAAGUUGAUGUGCAUGCAGCCGCCAAGCUCGCCACCGGAGCUGUACACGCACACGCGCACCUGCGGUGGCGCUGUUGGAAUCUUCCUCGUUGUCCGUACCGCCAACUUCUACGUGCUGGAGCUGACAUCUGGGCGUGUCUACCACUACCCCUCCAACUACACGGACGAGUACGGCGAGCACGACCGCAACCUGCGUCGUGGCAUUCCGCUCUUCCGCAACACCGAGGAGACCCAGAAACUGGUCUUGACGUGGAUGCUGAACAAGUGGGGUGCCGUAUCGUCCAUUUUCGGCGUCUCAAACCGCAUGGACCUCUCCACCCUGUAGCCUGACAGUCACGCGGAGGGGCCCGCGUGCGUGUGUGCCUAUAUGUUGGCGUGGGUGAUGUGCCGUCAGCGGCGCCGUCGACUCUCGUUCUUGCUUUCUCUGGCACACCUCGACGCGUCGACAUCAACCUGCCGCCUCGGGCGAACCGGGGGAAGCGAAGAGGGAACGGAAAGGGGCGGACGGAUAGAGCGAGCGAAGGCGCCGAGAUAUGUGAUGUCCACAGACCACGGCGGCCUCGAAGCGCGGCCAUCACACGCACAGACCCAAGCAGGCAAGCGCCCACAGAGACAGACGGGCGCUUUGCCGAGGAACGUCGGCGAGGACACUCUCUUGCAAUGGCGGGAAACAAAUUAUGUGUUGCUGUUAUGUUUUCAUGCCGCCAAGAAGCGCGCACAGGUUGGCCCCCCCCUCUC